UAUCAAUCUUCUCUCUCUUGCAAAGCUCUCUAGUCUCUUCAGACUCAUCACCCAUCACCAGCAAGAACUCCACAUCACUGCAAGUCCUACUCAAGUCCACCAUGAAAGGGUAUAUCUUGCUGCUCUGCUUGCUGUGACUAGCUGCGUACUCCACAACAACCAGCUUGUUUUUCGCCAUUCGAAGCGCUUCAUCGAACUGGCCUAUGCUGUGGACUUGCUGUACUCUUUCGUCG
Molecule: unclassified non-coding RNA, 233 nt
Filed under: Hevea brasiliensis (rubber tree)
Lineage: Eukaryota; Viridiplantae; Streptophyta; Magnoliopsida; Malpighiales; Euphorbiaceae
Source: RNAcentral